This 33-nucleotide ribosomal RNA is filed under the name Convolvulus ammannii. RNAcentral describes it as "partial 18S ribosomal RNA". The record is from RNAcentral. Lineage: Eukaryota; Viridiplantae; Streptophyta; Magnoliopsida; Solanales; Convolvulaceae.
GUUUCCGUAGCUGAACCUGCGGAAGGAUCAUUG